AACGAACGCUGGCGGCGUGGAUAAGACAUGCAAGUCGAGCGAGAUUUUUUCUUGUAGCAAUACGAGGAAAAGUCUAGCGGCGAACGGGUGCUUAACACGUGGGCAACCUGCCAAGAAGUGGGGGAUAGCUCGCCGAAAGGCGAAUUAAUACAGCAUGUGAUCAGAGUGGACAUCCAUUCAAAAUUAAAGUCGGGGCAACCUGACGCUUCUUGAGGGGCCCGCGGCCUAUCAGCUAGUUGGUGAGGUAACGGCCCACCAAGGCUUUGACGGGUGGCGGGUCUGAGAGGACGACCAGCCACACUGGGACUGAGACACGGCCCAGACACCUACGGGUGGCAGCAGUCGAGAAUUUUUCUCAAUGGGGGAAACCCUGAAGGAGCGACGCCGCGUGGAGGAUGAAGGUCUUCGGAUUGUAAACUCCUGUCAUUGGGGAACAAUGCGUAAAUAUUAACUGUAUUUGCGUUGAUAGUACCCGAAGAGGAAGAGACGGCUAACUCUGUGCCAGCAGCCGCGUAA
This 516-nucleotide ribosomal RNA is filed under the name uncultured bacterium. Its description in RNAcentral is "partial 16S ribosomal RNA". It matches the Rfam family "Bacterial small subunit ribosomal RNA", at positions 29 to 522 of the family's 1533-position model. The record is from RNAcentral.